Leopardus geoffroyi (Geoffroy's cat) is the source of this 6707-nucleotide long non-coding RNA. RefSeq lists it as uncharacterized. The record is from RefSeq and is a predicted model, not a curated record. The transcript has 3 exons. NCBI's taxonomy places the organism in Eukaryota, Metazoa, Chordata, Mammalia, Carnivora, Felidae.
UGGGUAGAACUAUAAUAAAAUUUUAUGUUAUGAAUAGUGUCUACUACAAUGCUGGUUCUCAAUAAAUAUCUGAAGCCAACUGCUCAUUCAAUCAAUGGACAUUUAUGAAAGACCUUGUAUGUGCCAGACUCAAAGCUAGGCACCAAGGACCCAGAGCUGAUGAAAACUUGGUGUCUGCCUUUGAAAAGUCCACAAUUUGCUGUCUAGUUUGAGGUUAGUUUAUCAGCUUUUGCUUUUUAAGCUACAAAGUGAAAUGCAUCAACGUGGAUAGUGAUGUGACUUCUUCACAGGAUUAUUCCAGUUCGGAAUGCAAAGGGUACUGAAGAGUGAGGUCUCAUGGAAAGAGAAAAAUGGAAACCCAAAUAAACAGCAUAAAAUUGACAGGAGCUCCAUGUGUUCUCCAUAUUUUCUGCUUAAUAGAUCAAUUAUAGCAAUAAAACAUGUGCACUAUAAAAAUAUGCACAGAGAAUUCGGCCAGCCUGCAAGGGAAUGUUGACAAGGUAACUAAGCAACACUGGCAAGGAAAGUUCUUAUUUUUCUUUUCCUCUUGAUGUCUUCUGCCUUAUUAGUUGAAAAUUCAAAGUGUCCUUGCCAGGAUGAGGAAGAAAUGAAGCAAUUCUCCCAUUCACUCUGGAGAGAUCCAUCUUUCUAGGUGUGACCACCUCUAAAGAGAUGUUGGUAGUACAGAAGGGUGGGCAGGACAGAGAGGAGAGAAAUCAAAGCUGGUAUUAGUUCGGGGAAAGAAGUUCACUAUCUCAUCUACAGGAUGGAGGACUCCUGGCAGGACCAGCCGGCAGGGCGAUUCACCAUAGGAAGACAGGCCAGAAAUGAGGACAGACUCCAAAGCCAAAGUAGUAGGCAUGACAGUAAAUACUGCGAUCCCUCAGAGAUUGUUACCAGAAAAUACCUAAAGGCAAUGUCUGGAAGACACAGGGACACAGACACAUGGAGGAUGUUAUAUAACUAUGCCGGCAGAGACUGGAGCAAUGCAUCGGCAAGACAACGAACAUAAAGAAUUACCAGCAAUCACCAGAAGCUGGAAGAUGUAAGAAAAGAUUCUUCCCUAGAAGCUCUGCAGGGAAAAUGGCCAUGAUGACAUUUUUGAUUUUAGACUUCUAGACUCCCGAACUGUGAGAGAAUAAAUCUGUUAUUUUAAACCAUGCUAUUUGGGAAAUUUUGUUAUGGUAGUCUUGGGAAACAAAUACAUUUCUCAGCUUCUGUAGCCCCAAAUGGUAGAAGUGAAAUUAACCAAACCAACUUCCAAUCCAGCUGACAUCUCCCAAAGUCUCGCAGACACAUACCGGGCCACAGGAUGUAUUUCAUGGAAGGCAUAUGCUAGAAGAGCAUAAAGACUUUGACCUUAGGCUUAAAUGAGUUAAUUUCCCUCUCAAACCUUCAAAUAGCUCAUCUGUACAAUGGGAUUAGGUCUAGAUCAAUGAUGGCAAAUACAUUAUAAUUGGGAAUGGCUGCCUGAGAGCACUGUGUUGAGAAGGAUUGUAAGGAGUCAUCUGGGCAAAGAGGCAGAGACACUUUAACAGUCAAAAUACUUCAUCUUCAUGCUCCCCAUGCCUCUGUGACCAUCCUUGUCAGUUUCCUCUUCCAGUGCCCACUCUUUAAACAGAGGUGAUUCUUAGGAUUCAGAUAAUGGCUCAUAUUUCUUUUCCCACCUUAACAUGUUCUCUUUAGACAAACCAACUAAUUCUUAAGGUCUUAAAUGAUCACUUAUAGCUUCUGCUCAUACUUUUAAAUCUCUCUCUCCAGCCUGGAUCAGUCUCCUAUCCUCAUUUAGUCCCACACAUCCAAAUGCUAGAUGGACAUGUCCAUGUAGCUAUCUCACGGACAACUCAAAGCAACUCAUUUAUAAUAAAACUCACCAGUUGCUCCCCUAAGCUUGCUCUUCCUCUCAUAUACUAUCUCUUAGUCAGCAGUACAACCAUAUACCUAGUAAGAAAACUGGGCUCUUUCCUGGACUAUUUCCUCUUUCUUACCCCUUGAUUCCCAAUCAAUCAUCAAGACAACCCAAUCUUACCUCCUAGAUAAUCCCCUUCUGUAUUUACUAUCACUGUCCUAAUUCAACGUUCCAUCAGUUCUUGCCUUUCAAGAUUCCCCUCAGGUAGCACUGCCUCAAGAUACCUCUGCAUCUGUGUUUUCUGCCCUUGAAUCUCUGGAAUCUGGCAUUGUGUCUAACAUGUAGGCAACAGAUGAUGAUGACGACAAUGACAAUGAUGACGACAAUGAUGAUAAGGAUCAUUUGUUUACCACUUGCUAUGUACAAGGCACCAUUCUCAGCAAUUUUUAUAUCCACAGCCACCUUCUAUGGUAGGUUCUCAUCCCUAUUUAGAGACAAAGUACAGAAAGUUUAAGUGACUUUCUCAGAGUUACACAGUUCUACCAAGAGGAUGCUAAACAGAUCUGAAAUUCAAUUUAAAUUAAAAUACACUCAUAAGGGGAAAUAGUGAAACACAUACCUAUUUGUUCAAUAAAUUUUUAUUGAACACACACUAUGUGGUGAGCACUGGAGGCACAAAUAAAUGAAUACAUAAACACAUUAACUACAGACAUGGGGAAAAUCUCUCAGGAAAUUCAUUCAUUUCUCUAGACCAGAACUGACCCAGGAUUCUGGGAAACGAGUUAUUAUCCAUAGAAUUCUAGGUAACUUUGAGAAAUAUUGGGGGUGGCAGACUGAACUCAGGGUUUCCUCCUCUAGUAUCGCCUUCCCCACAGAGCUGAGAAGCCCUUGUGAAGUACCAGAAAAAGCUUCAGUUAUGGCCUCCAUUCCUGGCCUCACAGCAGUGCCAGCCUCCAGCCUCCUCAAUCCCCUCUUCUUUGACUGCAAGAGGGCUGCUCCUCUCAGUCGAGGCAGAGAGAAGCAAGUUCUCUGCAAGCUGGUAAAGGCUUAUUACUUUGACAGCGUUGGGUCAGAGGACCUAUGUCAAUCUGACUUUGCCAAGUAGCACUGUGACCUUGGGCAAGUCACUUCACCCGUCUGACCCCAGAAGCCUAUCUCUAAGUGUCCUUCCAACCCUACAUUCUAUGAUUUAGAGUAUACACUUCAGAGCCUACUAAGAGCAGGGAUCUUGGCAAUAAGAGACCCUUCCCCUAUCCCCCUUGGCUACAACAGAUUAUUCCUGGACACUACCUGCAAAACCAAGCAUUGCUCAGACACUAAAGAAAACCUAAAAUUUGGGGUAUGUGAUUAUUCUGUCAGUCUAAGAAAAGUCCACUUAAGUUUUCCCAUAAUAAUGCCUUUCUUUGUUAUUCAUAAAUGUCAGGAAACCUAUGACCACAUGCAACCUGACAGCAAGUAAAAGAAGACCUUGUCCUCAUCUCUGCAAUGGCAACUGCUUUUUAAAAUAUCUAUCCAAGACAAGAGGACCUCUCUGUCCAUCACAUUACUCCACUCUUGCCGUUUCUUCCCAGACUGCAGGCACUCUUGGAUGUGGUCUGGGAAGAAAUCCACAUUUACCCAGUGAGUAAAGGGGAGGAUUAUUCUGGAAGGUGACAACUCUCAUCUGAAAUGUUUACUACCAUCUUGGAAGUGAAAGCCCCAUUAGGGUUUGAAUGGACCAAGCAAAACAAGGAUACAGGUGGAAACUGUUCUGGUAAUCCCAAAACUGAGGGUAGGUUUUACUGAUGGUGAAUACUUAUUUACUUACACAUUUAUUUCACAUGGUAAAUUUCUUUUUAUCAGGGAUCAUUUUGUAAGGGCUAAAAUUGUUUCUGUGCAGAAGUUACUACAUGCAUCAUCUACAGCUGGACUAUAAAAGAGAUCCAAGGAUAAGUCUGUCCAAAGAGCCUCUUUAAGGGUGAUAUGAUAAAAACAAAAACAAAAACAAAAACAAACAAAAAGAAAACAAACAAACAAAAAAAGCUAUGGGGAGCAUCUAAUACAAAGAAGGGGCAAUACUGGAGGAAAGAGGGGGAAGGAAUGAUCUUGAGCCUCUCAGCAGUUUUGUUUACAUGGCAAAUGAGCAAAUCAUAAGAAAUCACAAGGCAGUAUUUUGUUCAACAAACAUUUAGUGUCUUUAUGCAAGAGAUGCCAUGAAUACAAGACUGAAUAACUGCCUGGAGGCUUAGAUAUGUGAGUCACCCAAACGACUUAAAACUAUGUGAUCCCACUAGACUAGAGGUAUGGCUGUGCUCAUGACCUAACCAGCCACGGGGAAUCCCAGAAAAAGAAGUGGAGGUUUGAGUCGCUACCCACCAUUCUGUGGACUUCUCAAUUUUCCCAACACCCGACAUUGUCCUCCCAAAUCCCUAACUGAACCACCAAAUGAUUUCCCUGUCAUUGAGACAUGGCUUCAUUCUUUUACUCAUCCAACAAAUAAUUACUGAGUACCUACUUUGAGCCCGGCACUGUGAAAGGCACCAGGAUCUGUUUGAUCCAGGUCUAGUGACCCAUUUAUCCCAGGCCUCAUAUUCAUGAAGGGUUUAUAAAGUACAUUUGUUAGAUUAUACAAGUGAUAUCAAAUAUAUAGUGACAGAUGCACUUACAGGAUUAAACUUCAAAGCACAUUAUAAUUUUUAUAAUCUUGUUUUGGCAAUUUUCAAAAAUAUAUACAAGUCUCCCCAUGGUGACAUAUCAUCCACGGAAGUUAUCCAGGUCUCUCUCAGUCACCAUGGGUCCCACUGGACAUUCAAGAGAGGACUGCCAACAAGCUAGCUGUUACACUGUGCUCACAGAACUUGGUGCUUAGUGGGGAAACAGUUAUCAAAUAAGAACACACAUCCAAUGAAUAACGAGUUAUCCAGGGGAGGAGAGUGGCAUGGCGUGAGGCUGCACUGGCAAGCAGAGUUUUCACUUUUAGCUGAAGCAUUUGAAUUUUUACUAUAAAGACAUAUAUAAAGACACAUGCCAUGUGCUACUUGUAGAGUCAUUAUAAAUUUCUACAUCAGGCACAUCAUGAAAAGAACAGCCAAGAAGGGGACUACAAGACCAUGAGAGAGGUUGACCCCAAUGUGGGAGGCACUGAGAAUGAGCAAAACGCCAAGUUGGAGCUUCAGACUUGGUCUGGAGCUCAAACAGCUGCACACAACUUUGUGGUGACCAUGGGGGAGGUGCUGCCAGGCAUGGGUGCAAGGCUCCCCAUCUCAGAGCUCUCUCCUGGGCUCAAGCACCUUCUGACCCCACAAAUGGAACGAGCUUUCAGCUAUUGUGUAACAUGGAUGAUUGAUAUGUUACUCUCACCUUGGUUUGAAACUUGCCUUCUCAUGGAGAGCAAUAAAUCUUACCAGAAAAUACUAAAUGCCCCUGAGCUGAAUCACAGCAAUCCUGUCUAGACUGAAAUGUCUCAUCUUCAUUUGUCAAGCAAAUUGUGUCUUGACCAUUAUUGUGCACCUGGUAAGCCCCAUUGGCUUUAUACAGUUCCAUCAGCAACAGGGCAGCCCCUGCUAAACAGCUUUCUCUCUGAGGAAAGCCUGGCCACAUACAAAUGAUCUCAAGGCAUGCUAGAGAAAUAAGAGCAAAUAUCAUGGAAACAUCAUUAGGUAUAUCAACACACUGCUGAUGGUAGAUGGAACAGUCCAAUUCUGUACCAGACAAAUUUGGGGAAAAAUGUUUCCAUACACUGUUCUUUUUUAUUUUCCUGAUGAUAUUUUGAGAUAUACUCACAUGGCAUGGCUCUUAUAAAACAGACGCAAGACCAAUGACUGAUCAUCCAAUAAUGCUUCUGAUCAGAGCAAUUGUGUGUGUGUGUGUGUGUGUGUGUGUGUGUGUGCGCAUGAAUGCACACAUGCAAUACUUUCUUAGUGUGGCAGGUGCCUCUUUGGAGCAUGCAGUUUUUAGGGCUGUGUAUACAAGUAAAGUCAGCACAGAGUAAUGCAACUGAAUGUACCUCUGCACGAGGUAGACAGCUAGCUGAGGAAAAGUUUCCUAGAAUGGGUUUCAUGUCUUAGUUCUACUCUAAGACCUCACUGGGAAUCUGUAUGGUAGAGAGGGUUACUAGGUAAAAUAUGGGGCACCUAGUUAAAUGUGAAUUUGGGGUAAACAAUGAGUGAUUGUUUUUUAGUAUAGGUACUUUCCAAAUAUUGCACGGGUGUUAUUUUUAUUUGCAAAAUCAGGCGACCCUGACAGCUGAAGAGGGGAAGACAUGCAUGUCAAUCACCUUUGUCAUGAAUAUUGUCACCAUCAGCAUCAGUUAACAUUUACAGCACAUGGGGAUGAGGUCCAUGCUAUAGGGAAGACCUAUGAAUUACUCCUGCUGCCUAAAAGACUCAGAAUGUACCUACUUCUUCAAUUGUGGCCUCCUUGAGAUCAUGGGCUAUACCUUAGUGCUCCAUCUUUAAGACCGGGCCUGGUGACUGGCAUGUGGUACUAGCUAACAACAGAGUUUUGAAUAAAUGAGGAUAUGGUAUGGAAUGGUUAUAAAAGGAAGAAAUACGGGGUGAGCAGGAUAAAAUGACAAAACUGUACGUGGCAGAAAAUACAGGGAACCUCCAAAUCUGCAGCCACCUCCAUCACCUAUGAGAAGAACCUCUUAGCAGAGCAAUUCAAUUGAACAGUCUCUUAGCUUGGUCAGUAAGACUGAACUGUCUCGAGUAAGUGCAAAAUAGUCUAGGCAUUCCGAGUGGGUAGGGGAGGGGGAGUAUGCAAAGCUGGGAAAUCAACACUUAUACAAUUAUCCACUUUAAAACAUUUUUUUAAAUGUUUAUUUUUGACAGAAAGAGCAUAAGCUGGAGAAGGGGAGAGGGAGAGGGAGAUACAGAAU